AUGCCGGGUGUCCCGAAGGAUUUCGCCGAGCACAAGCUACAUGUCCGAGCCGACGCGAAGCCGGUCAAGCAGCCUCUCCGCCGACUGUCAGAAGAGAAGAGAAGAAUCGUAGGAGAAGAGAUAGCCCGGCUCCUUGCCGCCGGCUUUAUUAUGGAAGUGUUUUUUCCAGAGUGGCUUGCCAACCCAGUCUUGGUGUAUAAGAAAAACAACAAAUGGCGUAUGUGUAUAGACUACACUAGCCUCCACAAGGCCUGCCCCAAAGAUCCGUUUGCUCUGCCAUGGAUUGAUCAAGUGAUAGACUCCACAGCCGGAUGCGAGCUGUUGAGUUUCUUGGAUGCCUACUCAGGAUACCACCAGAUUAAGUUCGACCCAGCAGACCGCCUGAAGACCGCCUUUAUCACACCAUUCGGAGCUUUCUGUUACCUGACUAUGACAUUCGGCUUGAGGAAUGCCGGUGCCACUUUUCAGCGUUGCAUGCAGAAAUGCCUCCUCAAGCAACUCGGCAGAAAUGCCCACGUCUACGUAGACGAUAUUGUGGUGAAGACAGAGAAGCGCGGCACCCUGCUGGAAGACCUCAAAGAAACAUUUGCCAACUUGCACCGAUUCCAGAUCAAGCUCAACCCCGAGAAAUGCGUGUUCGGAGUACCAGCCGGCCAGCUUCUAGGCUUUCUGGUCUCCGAACGCAGCAUUGAGUGCAACCCUGUGAAGAUCAAGGCCAUUGAGAGAAUGGAGAUUCCCACCAAGUUGCGAGACGUGCAGAAGUUCACUGGGUGCCUGGCCUCCCUAAACCGCUUUAUCAGCCGGCUAGGAGAGAAGGCUCUCCCCCUAUACCGACUCAUGAAGAAAUCCACUCAUUUCGAGUGCAAUGACCAAGCAGACCAAGCCUUCCAUGAGUUGAAGAAGAUGCUGACCACUCCACCUGUCCUGGCGGCGCCGACUGAGAAGGAGCCCAUGCUCCUCUACAUUGCUGCAACUAGCCGAGUGGUCAGUACAGUCAUCGUGGUCCAGCGCCCAGAAGAAGGCCGAGCCCAGCUAGUCCAGAGGCCGGUAUAUUAUCUAAGCGAAGUACUGUCCAGCUCAAAGCAAAACUACCCACACUACCAGAAGAUGUGCUAUGGAGUGUACUUCGCCGCCAAGAAGCUGAAGCCCUACUUUCAAGAGCAUCCCAUCACGGUCGUAUGCACCGCCCCGCUUGCCGAGAUCAUAGGCAGCCGGGAUGCAUCCAGCUGGGUGGCUAAAUGGGCCAUUGCGCUGGCGCCUUACACAAUCUUCUACCAGCCCCGCACCUCCAUCAAGUCCCAAGCAUUGGCCGACUUCCUCGUCGACUGGGCCGAGACCCAGUACCUACCGCCGGCUCCCGACUCUACUCAUUGGCGGAUGCACUUCGACGGGUCAAAGAUGCGCACCGGCUUGGGAGCCGGCAUCGUCCUCGCCUCUCCCAAAGGCGACAAGCUCAGAUACAUGCUGCAAAUCCACUUUGCUGCCUCCAACAACGUGGCUGAAUACGAGGCGCUCAUACACGGGCUCCGGCUAGCCAAAGAGCUCGGCAUACGCCGGAUCCUGUGUUAUGGCGACUCAGACUUGGUGGUCCAGCAGUCAUCUGGCUACUAG
RNAcentral lists this ribosomal RNA (1611 nucleotides) under Triticum aestivum (bread wheat). RNAcentral describes it as "partial small subunit ribosomal RNA". Lineage: Eukaryota; Viridiplantae; Streptophyta; Magnoliopsida; Poales; Poaceae. The record is from RNAcentral.